RNAcentral lists this ribosomal RNA (315 nucleotides) under uncultured bacterium. Its description in RNAcentral is "bacterial SSU rRNA". It matches the Rfam family "Bacterial small subunit ribosomal RNA", at positions 28 to 334 of the family's 1533-position model. The record is from RNAcentral.
GAUGAACGCUAGCUACAGGCUUAACACAUGCAAGUCGAGGGGCAGCAUGAACAAAGCUUGCUUUGUUUGAUGGCGACCGGCGCACGGGUGCGUAACACGUAUCCAAUCUGCCCGCGGCUCGGGGAUAGCCCAUCGAAAGAUGAAUUAAUACCCGAUGGUGUGGUUACUCCGCAUGGGGUUUCCACUAAAGGUUUUCCGGCCGCGGAUGAGGAUGCGUAUGAUUAGGUAGUAGGCGGGGUAACGGCCCACCUAGCCUUCGAUCAUUAGGGGUUCUGAGAGGAAGGUCCCCCACACUGGAACUGAGACACGGUCCAG